This 914-nucleotide ribosomal RNA is filed under the name uncultured bacterium. RNAcentral's name for it is "bacterial SSU rRNA". It matches the Rfam family "Bacterial small subunit ribosomal RNA", at positions 8 to 916 of the family's 1533-position model. The record is from RNAcentral.
AGAGUUUGAUCAUGGCUCAGAUUGAACGCUGGCGGCAUGCUUUACACAUGCAAGUCGAACGGCAGCACGGGUGCUUGCACCUGGUGGCGAGUGGCGGACGGGUGAGUAAUGUAUCGGAACGUGUCCUAAAGUGGGGGAUAACGCAUCGAAAGAUGUGCUAAUACCGCAUAAUCUCUGAGGAGAAAAGCAGGGGAUCGUAAGACCUUGCGCUUUUGGAGCGGCCGUUAUCUGAUUAGCUAGUUGGUGGGGUAAAGGCCCACCAAGGCUUCGAUCAGUAGUUGGUCUGAGAGGACGACCAGCCACACUGGAACUGAGACACGGUCCAGACUCCUACGGGAGGCAGCAGUGGGGAAUUUUGGACAAUGGGGGAAACCCUGAUCCAGCCAUGCCGCGUGAGUGAAGAAGGCCUUCGGGUUGUAAAGCUCUUUCAGUCGGGAAGAAAAGAUUGUAACUAAUAAUUACAAUUAAUGACGGUACCGAAAGAAGAAGCACCGGCUAACUACGUGCCAGCAGCCGCGGUAAUACGUAGGGUGCGAGCGUUAAUCGGAAUUACUGGGCGUAAAGGGUGCGCAGGCGGUUUUGUAAGUCAGAUGUGAAAUCCCCGGGCUCAACCUGGGAACUGCGUUUGAAACUACAAGACUAGAGUGUAGCAGAGGGGGGUGGAAUUCCAUGUGUAGCAGUGAAAUGCGUAGAGAUAUGGAGGAACACCGAUGGCGAAGGCAGCCCCCUGGGUUAACACUGACGCUCAGGCACGAAAGCGUGGGGAGCAAACAGGAUUAGAUACCCUGGUAGUCCACGCCCUAAACGAUGUCAACUAGUUGUCGGAUCUUAUUAGAUUUGGUAACGUAGCUAACGCGUGAAGUUGACCGCCUGGGGAGUACGGUCGCAAGAUUAAAACUCAAAGGAAUUGACGG